This 24-nucleotide non-coding RNA is filed under the name Arabidopsis thaliana (thale cress). The record is from RNAcentral. Lineage: Eukaryota; Viridiplantae; Streptophyta; Magnoliopsida; Brassicales; Brassicaceae.
GGGCGUUCAGAUAUUCGGGUCGGG